This 107-nucleotide ribosomal RNA is filed under the name Escherichia coli. Lineage: Bacteria; Pseudomonadati; Pseudomonadota; Gammaproteobacteria; Enterobacterales; Enterobacteriaceae. The record is from RNAcentral.
CUUAGCGCGGUGGUCCCACCUGACCCCAUGCCGAACUCAGAAGUGAAACGCCGUAGCGCCGAUGGUAGUGUGGGGUCUCCCCAUGCGAGAGUAGGGAACUGCCAGGU